Notolabrus celidotus (New Zealand spotty) is the source of this 2466-nucleotide RNA transcript. It is a transcript of the gene named interferon-related developmental regulator 1, with no coding region annotated. NCBI's taxonomy places the organism in Eukaryota, Metazoa, Chordata, Actinopteri, Labriformes, Labridae. The record is from RefSeq and is a predicted model, not a curated record. The transcript is spliced from 11 exons.
CCUCUCUCUACGCAGCCCUGGUUUAUGAGGGAAAAUGUAUCGUCUCGGCCAACAGACUUUCUCCAAGAUCGCUUUCAAUUCCUCUUUAUCGACUGUGCCGCGGGAAUAUUAUCAUUUUACGAGACAUUACAGUAAAAGCUGGUCGUGUAUUGGCUGAUUUUUGAUCACAUUAGAUAUUUAAUCUGCACGAAAAUGCCGAGGAACAAGAAGAAGAACAGCAGGGGAGGGCAGCAUGGACAUGUGCAUCCUUUCAGUGAUGAGGAUGCCUCCAUUGAGACCCUCAGUCAUUGCAGCAGCUUCAGUGACAUCAUGAGUGUCGCAGAUGACGGUGGAGAGGCCAAUGAGGACGCAGCCCAGGAGGAUUUCCAGUACAAGUUGAAAGGGUUCAUAGACAGCACGGUGGACAAGAGUGCUAAGACCAGACAAGGAGCACUGGACGGGCUUAAGACGGCAAUGGCCACACGGAUCCUCUAUGAGUUCAUCUCUGAGAGAAGGAUGACCAUCACAGACAGCAUCGAACGCUGCCUGAAGAAAGGUAAAGGCGAUGAGCAGCGAGCGGCCGCCUCUUUAGCCUGCCUGCUGUGUAUCCAGCUGGGCUCGGGCAUCGAGAGCGAGGAGGUGUUCAAGAGCCUGAAACCCAUCUUCAAAAACAUCCUGGCAGAUGGAUCAGCGAACAUUCAGGCCAGACAAGCAGUGGCGACGAGUCUGGGCCUCUGUACUUUAGUAGCUGAAGAUGACAUUUUGGAUGUGCAAGCUACCAUGGAGUGCUUUGAGAACCUGUUCACCCGGUCCUAUGCGAGAGCGGACGGUACGUGUCCUCUGGUUAAUCCCCAGACAAGCGCUCUCCACACCAACGCUCUGCUCUCCUGGGCACUGCUGCUCACCAUCUGUACCAGCAACCAGCUUAGAGACAUCCUGCGCAAACACUUGCCUAAACUGCCCAGAUUGCUGGAAAGUGAGGAUGUGAACAUGAGGAUAGCUGCAGGGGAGACCAUCGCCCUGCUCUUUGAGCUGGCCAGAGACAUGGACGCUGAGUUUGAGUUUGAAGGCUGGGAGGAACUGUGCGACAAACUGAAUGCAUUGGCUACAGACUGUAACAAACACAGAGCCAAGACGGACAAGAGGAAGCAGCGCUCAGUGUUUAGGGACGUGCUCAAGGCUGUUGAGGAGGGCGACUUUCAGACUGAGACAAUCCGCUUUGGGACUGAGCGUAUGACCAUCGACAGCUGGGUCAGAAAGAGAACCUACGAUGCCUUCAGGGAGUUUGUGGGCUCUGGGAUGAACUACCACCUCCAGGUAUUUAUGUCAACUUCAUCAGUUGUGAAGUAUCGGUGGAGCGCAGCACAGAUUUAUGAGCCAGUGAAAUUAAAAACUUUGAAAGCGUGCAAGUCGACCUUUACUUUAAUUACACUGCAGAAUCCUGAGUUUGGGUUGGGUUGUUUAGUUUUCUCCUGCACUGACACAGCACUAAAACUUAAUGAAGAUCUGUAGGACUUCUCCAUGCAGGAAGACAACACUAACGACUUGAUUUAGGAUAAUGAUGCAUAUUGUGGGGGAAGAAGUCAUUACAGGUCUCUGGUUGGAAAUUAGUCUGCAUUAUGGCAGGCAGCCAGUGCUAAUGCAACAUUUCUGGAGUAAAGAUGACACAGUGGAACAUAGUAUGCUUGUGAUGAUGGUUUCUUAGUGAAGUAUUUUUGUCUUUUAAAGGGGAAUGAAUUCAUCAGAGACGUGUUCGAACUGGGACCACCCAUGUUGGUUGAUUCGGCGACCAUGAAGGCCAUGAAGAUCUCUCGCUUUGAAAGGCAUCUCCACAACUCUGCUGCAUUCAAGGCUCGGACCAAGGCCAGGAGCAAAUUCAGGGACAAGCGGGUGGACGUGGGAGAGUUUUAAUCUUUUUGACACUAGGAAUAUAUUUAUCAAGCCUCACUGCUUAUUAGAUGAACUGUCCCCAUAUUGCUUUGCCACUUAACUCCCCUGAAGUCUAUUUAGUAUCAAACCCUCACUGUCCAUAGUGUUGUAAAGCAGCUUUGCUCUCAGAUGCUGACAUAGCCACAUUGACACCUACAGGAGGUGGGUGUUUUGAUAAUUCAACAAUAGUUUUUCAGGUAGAGUCUAACUUAAUGUCUCCACACAUGAACAGUGGUGUUGUACAUAUAGUGUAUAUUUUUCUCUCUCAUUAAUAUCUAUUAUGUGGCCUUUCAUGUUUUUGAACAUAUGUAUUAAGUUAUGUAAUUUUGGCAGCAUUUUUUUUGUUUGCACCUUUAUAGUUUUGUUUAGUUCAUUCCAAUGUUAAAACACAUCUCUACAUUCUAAUCCUUGUAUGAAUUUGUAUUUCGUUGCACUACCUUCCUAACCCAUAGCAGGUUAUUAUUGUAGAUCAACGGUGAAUAUUGUGUUUUCUUUUGGUAUUUGUUAUGUACUCUAAAGGGCAAGGAGGGUGAAAUAAACACUGAAAAGCUGAAAGAA